This 2568-nucleotide small RNA is filed under the name Pongo abelii (Sumatran orangutan). RNAcentral's name for it is "retained intron". Lineage: Eukaryota; Metazoa; Chordata; Mammalia; Primates; Hominidae. The record is from RNAcentral.
CUUGCAUGUGUUCAAAUUCUUUUCCCCUUGUUCAGUAGCCUCUUCUUUAAGAAGCCAGAGUAAGUAUACUAUGAGCUUGCUUGCUGGACUGAGGAGGCAGGUAAUUAAGUUAGGGCAAUAUAUAAGAAUACAUGUUUUGAGAACUUUGAAAAAUUUGAAGAGGUCUAUAAUUACUGCAUUCACUGUACUCACUUUAUUUUGAAACAGAGUCUUGCUCUGUCACCCAGGCUCGAGUGCAGUGUUAUGAUCUCAGCUCACUGCAACCUCCACCUCCCAAGUUCAAGUGAUUCUCCCACCUCAGCCUCCCGAGUAGCUGGGAUUACAGGCGUGCGCCACCACACCUGGCUAAUUUUUGUAUUUUUAGUAGAGAUGAGGGUUCACCAUGUUGGCCAGGGUGGUCUUGAACUCCUGACCUCUUGAUCCACCUGUCUUGGGCUCCCAAAGUGCUGGGACUACAGGCCUGAGGCAUCGCACCUGGCCUAUUUUUUAUUUUAAUUUUUAUAGAUUUACAGGGGUACAAUGCAGUUUUGUUGUAUGGAUAUACUGCACGGCGGUGAAGUCUGUGCUUUAGUGUAACCAUCACCUGAGCAGUGAACAUUGUACUCAUUAGGUAAUUUCCCAUCCCUCAUCCCCAUCCCACUUUCUCACCUUUCCGAGUCCCCAAUGUCUAUUAUUUCACUCUGUAGGUCCAUAUGUACACAUUUGGUUCCCACUUAUAAGUGAGAACAUGUGGUAUUUAAUCUUCCAUUUCUGAGUAUCUACUUUUUUUUUCUCACUUUUUACUCUCUGGCAGUAUGGCUUGUAUUAUCUUGAAAUUUCUUUAAAAAGCCCUUCCUUCUUUGUGUGUUCAUGCUGAACAUCCUUACCCCAUAUCUCUAAUCUCGGGUUGUAUUUGUAUAAUUAUGAGUAAUGCCUGGCUCUCCCACCAGACUUAAACUUUCUGAAAGCACAGAUAAUAAUGAGUCUUUUACUUAAUUACAUCCUAACAUUUUGAGCAGAGCGAGUAACUCACAGCAGGUGCUCAAUGGAUAUGUGUUGCAUGAAAAUAUAAUCCCAUUCAUUUCUCUUUCUUUUUUGUAUACAGUACCAGGUCAUGCUGGCCGACUGGUGUUUGGGUUCCUGAAUGGCAGAGCCUGUGUGAUGAUGCAGGGCAGGUUCCACAUGUAUGAAGGGUACUCACUCUGGAAGGUAAGUCAGGGGGAUAGGCCUGGUUGGAUCUGGAAGAGGCAGGAGAGAACUGUCUAGCCUCUUUCGCUACCUAGCUGUCUGGACUAGGUGGAUUUUUGGUCCUCUCCUUCCUUUUCUUUCACGAUGUAUGUCAUGCAUUUCAGUGUAGCUGAAUUAAUGAAAUUUUGUAAAUUUUUUUCUGAUCUUUUGCUUCGAAGGUGACAUUCCCAGUGAGGGUUUUCCACCUUCUGGGUGUGGACACCCUGGUGGUCACCAAUGCAGCAGGAGGGCUGAACCCCAAGUUUGAGGUUGGAGAUAUCAUGCUGAUCCGUGACCAUAUCAACCUACCUGGUUUCAGUGGUCAGAACCCUCUCAGAGGGCCCAAUGAUGAAAGGUAUGUAUGUUACUCCGUUUUUUUUUUGAUGGGUAGGAUUUAAAGACUUCUAGGAGCUGUGGGAGAAUUUUUUAAAUUCCGUUUAUGUGAGAUAAUUCAACCUGUGUCCUAGGUUUGGAGUUCGUUUCCCUGCCAUGUCUGAUGCCUACGACCGGACUAUGAGGCAGAGGGCUCUCAGUACCUGGAAACAAAUGGGGGAGCAACGUGAGCUACAGGAAGGCACCUAUGUGAUGAUAGCAGGCCCCAGCUUUGAGACUGUGGCAGAAUGUCGUGCGCUGCAGAAGCUGGGAGCAGACGCUGUUGGCAUGAGUACAGUACCAGAAGUUAUCGUUGCACGGCACUGUGGACUUCGAGUCUUUGGCUUCUCUCUCAUCACUAACAAGGUCAUCAUGGAUUACGAAAGCCUGGAGAAGGCCAACCAUGAAGAAGUAUUGGCAGCUGGCAAACAAGCUGCACAGAAAUUGGAACAGUUUGUCUCCACUCUUAUGGCCAGCAUUCCACUCCCUGACAAAGCCAGUUGACCUGCCUUGGAGUGAUCUGGCGUCUCCCACACAAGAUCCAAGUAGCUGUUACCUUCUUUGGCCCCUUGCUGGAGUCAUGUUUCUCUGUCCUUAGGUUGUAGCAGAAAGGAAAAGAUUCCUGUCCUUCACCUUUCCCACUUUCUUCUACCAGACCCUUCUGGUGCCAGAUCCUCUUCUCAAAGCUGGGAUUACAGGUGUGAGCAUAGUGAGACCUUGGCGCUACAAAAUACAGCUGUUCUCACUCCUGUUCUUUCUUACACAAGAGCUGGAGCCUAUGCCCUACCACACAUCUGUGGAGAUGCCCAGGAUUUGACUUGGGCCUUAGAACUUUGCACAGUAGCCGCUACUAGCUUUUUGAGAUAAUACAUUCCUGGGGGCUCAGUUCUGCCUUAUCUAAAUCACCAGAGACCAAACAAGGACUAACCCAAUACCUCUUGGACUUUAUUUAAUGUCAUAGUGUUGUCAGAAUAAAGAGAAAGAUGAAAU